UACGGAGGGUGCGAGCGUUAAUCGGAAUUACUGGGCGUAAAGGGUGCGUAGGUGGUUAGAUAAGUUAGCUGUGAAAUCCCCGGGCUCAACCUGGGCAGGUCAGCUAAGACUGUUUGACUCGAGUAUGGGAGAGGGUAGUGGAAUUUCCGGUGUAGCGGUGAAAUGCGUAGAGAUCGGAAGGAACACCAGUGGCGAAGGCGGCUACCUGGCCUAAUACUGACACUGAGGCACGAAAGCGUGGGGAGCAAACAGGAUUAGAUACCCGAGUAGU
Molecule: ribosomal RNA, 271 nt
Filed under: uncultured bacterium
Lineage: Bacteria
Description: partial 16S ribosomal RNA
Rfam family: Bacterial small subunit ribosomal RNA
Source: RNAcentral